UGUACUACAUGACUGGCUCACCAUGAAUAGAUUCUAUAGGUUUGAUGACUUGUUGCUCUUUAGAGACUCUCUUCGAGCUCAACUUUUCUCCCACUGCUUCAUCUUGGAUAAACUAUUUUCUAAGAAGGUAGCAUGAUGGCUCACAAUCAUAUUGUGAUCCUUUGAGAAGAAAAAGUUAUAUCUCAAACUCUUUAGGAUAUCCUAUGAAAUAAGUUCUCAUAGAUCCAGCCUCUAACAUGUCCGCCUACUGUCACUUGACACA
RNAcentral lists this long non-coding RNA (262 nucleotides) under Elaeis guineensis (African oil palm). Its description in RNAcentral is "long non-coding RNA (EGUI_LNC066186)". Lineage: Eukaryota; Viridiplantae; Streptophyta; Magnoliopsida; Arecales; Arecaceae. The record is from RNAcentral.